Molecule: unclassified non-coding RNA, 207 nt
Filed under: fungal sp.
Lineage: Eukaryota; Fungi
Description: partial contains small subunit ribosomal RNA, internal transcribed spacer 1, and 5.8S ribosomal RNA
Rfam family: Eukaryotic small subunit ribosomal RNA (bases 1-46)
Source: RNAcentral
AAGUCGUAACAAGGUUUCCGUAGGUGAACCUGCGGAAGGAUCAUUACAAAUCUCGCGAGUUUGGGCUUGGUGGUGGUAAAACAUCUCCUUGCCCGAAUGAGCACAUUGGCUCAAGGCCGCAAGGUCUUGAUGUUUACGCUUGUUUGUUUGACAGAGUAAAAUGUGACUAAAUAUAUACAACUUUUAACAAUGGAUCUCUUGGCUCUU